This 276-nucleotide ribosomal RNA is filed under the name uncultured bacterium. RNAcentral describes it as "partial 16S ribosomal RNA". It matches the Rfam family "Bacterial small subunit ribosomal RNA", at positions 44 to 334 of the family's 1533-position model. The record is from RNAcentral.
GUGCCUAACACAUGCAAGUCGAACGAGAAAGUGGAGCAAUCCAUGAGUACAGUGGCGACCGGGUGAGUAACACGUGACUAACCUACCUUCGAGUGGGGGAUAACUCCGGGAAACCGGAGCUAAUACCGCAUAACAUCGCAAGAUCAAAGCAGCAAUGCGCUUGGAGAGGGGGUCGCGGCUGAUUAGCUAGUUGGCGGGGUAACGGCCCACCAAGGCGAAGAUCGGUAUCCGGCCUGAGAGGGCGCACGGACACACUGGAACUGAAACACGGUCCAG